CGGACGGGUGAGUAAUGUCUGGGAAACUGCCUGAUGGAGGGGGAUAACUACUGGAAACGGUAGCUAAUACCGCAUAACAUCGCAAGACCAAAGAGGGGGACCUUCGGGCCUCUUGCCAUCAGAUGUGCCCAGAUGGGAUUAGCUAGUAGGUGGGGUAACGGCUCACCUAGGCGACGAUCCCUAGCUGGUCUGAGAGGAUGACCAGCCACACUGGAACUGAGACACGGUCCAG
RNAcentral lists this ribosomal RNA (232 nucleotides) under uncultured Enterobacterales bacterium. Its description in RNAcentral is "partial 16S ribosomal RNA". It matches the Rfam family "Bacterial small subunit ribosomal RNA", at positions 99 to 334 of the family's 1533-position model. The record is from RNAcentral. Lineage: Bacteria; Pseudomonadati; Pseudomonadota; Gammaproteobacteria; Enterobacterales.